Long non-coding RNA from Orcinus orca (killer whale), 2227 nucleotides. RefSeq lists it as uncharacterized. Lineage: Eukaryota; Metazoa; Chordata; Mammalia; Artiodactyla; Delphinidae. The record is from RefSeq and is a predicted model, not a curated record. The transcript is spliced from 3 exons.
GACGCUCGAGACCAAAGGGGUGGGACUCUCGUUUUCCAGGCGAGCCAGGCCCGGGACUUGAAAUCUGAAGCUCUAACCUGUCUUCUCUCAUUACCAACCCUUCCCUUUUCCUGAGAUCCAUACAUGAAAAAAGGAACUCAUACGUAACUACACUUCCACCCACCUCUCUGUGGUUCUGGGUGCGACUGGCCUUAUGGUGAACAAUUUAGGAUGACUAAUUUUGGGAGUAGUGGCCAGACUGGUCUUAGUGCUUCCUUGUCAGUCUCUCCUCAGGACCCAAGGCUGGGACCAGGGGCAAAGAAGCCCAGGGAAUAACCCCCUAGCCAGAGGCUGAGCCUCUCGCCCUGCCCUCUCCAGGCCAGAGGACCCAUGCCUUCAAACUGCCCCUUCCUCAUAGCUCUGGGAUCCUGUGAGUCUGGCCCACCAGGUAGAUUCCCCAGGCAAGGAAGGAUCUCAGCCAGACUCCUGCAGCUAGAGCCCAGGACCCAAUCGCCAGUUUCCCCAACCCCUAGGUCCCUGGCUUCCCAUCGGCACAGUGAGAAUGCUGUACAGCUGGACAGAGCCUGGGGCCUCCCCUCAGCCACACAUGGUCUGGCAGCCCUUGAUCUCUCAUGGCUUUAAGGAGUUGAGUGACCCAGGAUGGAGUCCAGGCUUCCCUUGGGUGGGCACACCCUUCUCUUCUCUGAGCUGCCGUCUCCUCUUCUGUUAAGUGGGAAUUGUAAUAAUACCUCCUCUGGAAGGUUGAUCUUGGGAGUAAAUGGACCUUUGGAUGUGAAACUGGGUUUGGGUUUGGAAGCAGCUGGGCCUACAGCGCUUGAUCUGGGGAUCAGUUUUCCCUGAGAAGAGCUGAAUUUUCGUGUGUGUGUGUGUGUGUGUGUGUGUGUGCACGCGCACGCGCAUGUGCAACCAUCAACCUUUGAACCAACGUUGGCACUGUCUCUUGGUCUGGGCACAUUCUCGUUCUUUGUUGAUGUCCACCAGAGGUGUGCAAAGUUCAGACUCUUAGUGUGCCAGGGUCCCUUCUGCAUCCCCCUGUCCCCAGUGGGGGAUACCACCUACAUCAUUUGUCCACAUCUCCCAUCAGCUCCCUCCGGUUAAUCCCAGACCCCAAAGCUAAAAAGCUUUCCCUAAUCUGUGCCCUGACCUCCCAGACCCUGAAGCUCCACCUCUUCUUCAUCCUCCUGAGGCCUCUUCCCCCAGAGUCUUGCCCUCUGGGAUUGUCAGCUGUUCCUCGUGGAGGGUUAAUGACUCAUGGCAAGCUGAACUUGCCUCCCUCAAAUGGUGACUGUUCAAAAGGUGUGACUCGGCGGAAGGAGAGAGACCACCUCUGAGCCAUGCACCCUUGGGCAAAGUGCCUUUCCCUCCCAGGCCCUUGGCUUCCGAGUUCAAAUCCACGGAGGGCGGGGACCCAGCUGUCCCACGGAAAAAGGCCUUGUGAUGUGUACUGUGUCUGCAUUUCCACGUGUGCAUUUAUUGUUAUUGCUCAGUAUAGUGUUGAAAAGGCAGACAAAUCCCAUUAAUUACAAAGAGCACAAGCCAGAGAUACAGAGAAAUCAAGAGUGUACAAUAAAAGCACAGUCACGUCCCAGCCCCGAUUUCCCCAGAGCCCCCCAGAGCCCGGGUAGCUCGUGGAAGCUGGAGGCGGCACCAUUUCCUCGCUACUCUGGUAUAAAAUAUGUGCACGUGAGAGUUAGCAAAGUGUGGCGACUAACCCCUCCCCGCCCCGAGAGGAAAGGUGAGGAGAGCACCACAGGCGUUACAGAACAGACUUGGGGAGCCGAGAAGGGCAGUCCCAAAGCAGCCUUAAAUAUCUUGUUUUCGGUGGAGGGGGUGAUGGCUGAUGCCCAGGGCCUGGGAUCCCCCCCCCCCCACUUGGAUGAACAGGAUCUUUACAUCAAAAUCAGGAGAGCUUGCUUUGGAACUUGGGAAAGACCUGGGGAUUUUCUGCUGUUGUUUGAUUUCAGCCUCGUCUCUGGAGGACCCAGAAGCCUUCAGAGAAACGCAACCCAUCUCCACCCCACCCGCCAUCUUCUAAUGGUGGGAUCUCCGACCCUACGGAGAGAGUUUUGUGUGGGAGGCACGUCACAGUGUGCGUUUGACAGCAUCCUACCACAGACAUUUCAGAACCAUGUUGCGGAGUAAGAAGAGUCAGCAAUUGAAAGCAUCACCAUUGCAUAGUAUUAAAUGAACAGAGAUGGUGAGUUCUUUAUUUACAGUUAUUGUCUAG